GGGCAGCAGGUGCAAGCAGCAGUAGCAGCAGUAGUAUUGAGGGCAGCAGUAGUAGGAGCAGUAGUAGUGAGGGCAGCAGUAGCAGCAGUAGUAGUGAGGGCAGCAGUAGUAUUGAGGGCAGCAGUAGCAGCAGUAGUAGUGAGGGCAGCAGUAGCAGGGGCAGCAGUAGUAGUGAGGGCAGCAGUAGUAUUGAGGGCAGCAGUAGCAGCAGUAGUAGUGAGGGCAGCAGUAGCAGGGGCAGCAGUAGUAGUGAGGGCAGCAGUAGUAGUGAGGGAAGCAGUAGCAGGGGCAGCAGUAGUAGUGAGGGCAGCAGUAGUAGUGAGGGAAGCAGUAGCAGGGGCAGUAGUAGUAGUGAGGGC
Molecule: long non-coding RNA, 359 nt
Organism: Oncorhynchus tshawytscha (Chinook salmon)
Lineage: Eukaryota; Metazoa; Chordata; Actinopteri; Salmoniformes; Salmonidae
Source: Ensembl